Molecule: small RNA, 825 nt
Filed under: Pan troglodytes (chimpanzee)
Lineage: Eukaryota; Metazoa; Chordata; Mammalia; Primates; Hominidae
Description: processed transcript
Source: RNAcentral
GAGGCUGCGGUCAUGGAGGGAGCUGGAGCUGGAUCCGGCUUCCGGAAGGUGAGGGCCGGCGGGCAGGGGCUAGGCAGACGCGGACGCUCCGUCCCGACCUCACGCGUGACACCGUGAGGGCCAGACGCCAGCCCCCGCGCCGCCCCCUGUGCCUUUGAGGUUGGGCCCGUUCUCGGACUCCAUCUCCGGCCGGGCCGCGCGCCCCGCGCCCUCCUGGGCUGGUGUCUCGCAGCUGGAGCUGGUGAGCAGGCUGCUGCACCUGCACUUCAAGGAUGACAAGACCAAAGAAGCAGCAGUCCGCGGCGUGCGGCAGGCCCAGGCAGAAGACGCGCUCCGUGUGGACGUGGACCAGCUGGAGAAGGUGCUUCCGCAGCUGGUGCGUGAGCGUGGGUCGGGGCGCAAGUGGGGGUGCCCGGCUGGCUGGCCCUAAGUGCUUCUCUCCCCCACAGCUCCUGGACUUCUAGGGAUCUCAGCCGUGGCUGAGGCCACCCCCAGAGGAGCCCCUGGUCCACAGAAGCAGGCCUUGUGUUUCCAGCGGCCUCUGAUAACAGGCAGGGAAGGACCUGAAGGAUUUGGAGUUGAUUCAAACAAGAUCUCUGGGAGUCUCCAGCCUGUGCAGAAGGGGCAGGACUGCAGUGCACUGCGGGCCUUGGAGUGUCCAGUGGGGACACUGGUGUGGGAAGGGGCAGCACCUGGGGAGUCCCUGCCUCUCCUCCCUGGGACAAUAGUGUGCAUGCCACCCGGGGUCCUACAGGCAGGUGCUGGGAAAGGCCUGGCCAGCAGGUAGCCUGUGUGUUUGACAAACAGCAGCUGGCUGCGCUGCCU